RNAcentral lists this ribosomal RNA (497 nucleotides) under uncultured bacterium. RNAcentral's name for it is "bacterial SSU rRNA". It matches the Rfam family "Bacterial small subunit ribosomal RNA", at positions 30 to 524 of the family's 1533-position model. The record is from RNAcentral.
AUUGAACGCUGGCGGCAUGCUUUACACAUGCAAGUCGAACGGUAACAGGGAGCUUGCUCCGCUGACGAGUGGCGAACGGGUGAGUAAUGCAUCGGAACGUACCCAGUCGUGGGGGAUAACGUAGCGAAAGUUACGCUAAUACCGCAUACGUCCUGAGGGAGAAAGCGGGGGACCGUAAGGCCUCGCGCGAUUGGAGCGGCCGAUGUCGGAUUAGCUAGUUGGUAGGGUAAAGGCCUACCAAGGCGACGAUCCGUAGCGGGUCUGAGAGGAUGAUCCGCCACACUGGGACUGAGACACGGCCCAGACUCCUACGGGAGGCAGCAGUGGGGAAUUUUGGACAAUGGGCGAAAGCCUGAUCCAGCCAUGCCGCGUGAGUGAAGAAGGCCUUCGGUUGUAAGCUCUUCAGGUGGAAGAAACGACAUAGGUUAAUACGAGGUGAGGUUGACGGUACCUUGAUAAGAAGCACCGGCUAACUACGUGCCAGCAGCCGCGGUAAU